GCGAGCGUAGUUCAACGGUAGAACAACAACUUAGACUCUUCCCUUGAAAUCACUAUUACAAAUACAGGUUCGACUCCUGCCGCUCGCG
RNAcentral lists this transfer RNA (88 nucleotides) under Lactiplantibacillus plantarum. Its description in RNAcentral is "Lactobacillus plantarum tRNA-Leu". It matches the Rfam family "tRNA". From Rfam's summary of the family: Transfer RNA (tRNA) molecules are approximately 80 nucleotides in length. Their secondary structure includes four short double-helical elements and three loops (D, anti-codon, and T loops). Further hydrogen bonds mediate the characteristic L-shaped molecular structure. tRNAs have two regions of fundamental functional importance: the anti-codon, which is responsible for specific mRNA codon recognition, and the 3' end, to which the tRNAs corresponding amino acid is attached (by aminoacyl-tRNA synthetases). tRNAs cope with the degeneracy of the genetic code in two manners: having more than one tRNA (with a specific anti-codon) for a particular amino acid; and 'wobble' base-pairing, i.e. permitting non-standard base-pairing at the 3rd anti-codon position. Lineage: Bacteria; Bacillati; Bacillota; Bacilli; Lactobacillales; Lactobacillaceae. The record is from RNAcentral.